GUACGGGGGAGCAAGCGUUGUUCGGAUUUACUGGGCGUAAAGGGCGCGUAGGCGGCGUGACAAGUCACUUGUGAAAUCUCCGGGCUUAACUCGGAACGGUCAAGUGGAUACUGUCGUGCUAGAGUACAGAAGGGGCAACUGGAAUUCUCGGUGGUAGCGGUGAAAUGCGUAGAUAUCGAGAGGAACACCAAUGGCGAAGGCAGGUCUCAUCGGGCUGACACUGACGCUCAUGCACGAAGCGUGGGAGCAACAGG
Molecule: ribosomal RNA, 254 nt
Filed under: uncultured bacterium
Lineage: Bacteria
Description: partial 16S ribosomal RNA
Rfam family: Bacterial small subunit ribosomal RNA
Source: RNAcentral